RNAcentral lists this ribosomal RNA (254 nucleotides) under uncultured bacterium. Its description in RNAcentral is "partial 16S ribosomal RNA". It matches the Rfam family "Bacterial small subunit ribosomal RNA", at positions 524 to 776 of the family's 1533-position model. The record is from RNAcentral.
UACGGGGGGGGCAAGCGUUGUUCGGAAUUACUGGGCGUAAAGGGCGUGUAGGCGGCAAGGAAAGUCAGACGUGAAAUCUCGGGGCUUAACCUCGAAACUGCGCCUGAUACUUCCAUGCUAUGAGUGCGGAAGAGGCAACCGGAAUUCCUGGUGUAGCGGUGAAAUGCGUAGAUAUCAGGAGGAACUCCAGUGGCGAAGGCGGGUUGCUGGGCCGACACUGACGCUGAGGCGCGAAAGCUAGGGGAGCAAACGGG